ACUCAACACUAUUCAAUUAAAAAGAAUGAGUCUAGGUUACUAAAGCACGCCGUAAUUACUACGGAUCCUUGAUCAGCCAGUUAGUUCUAAACCUGUUUUAAAGGAGUUU
Molecule: small RNA, 109 nt
Filed under: Tenacibaculum sp. M341
Lineage: Bacteria; Pseudomonadati; Bacteroidota; Flavobacteriia; Flavobacteriales; Flavobacteriaceae
Description: 6S RNA
Rfam family: 6S-Flavo RNA
Source: RNAcentral